Leguminivora glycinivorella is the source of this 1125-nucleotide long non-coding RNA. RefSeq lists it as uncharacterized. The record is from RefSeq and is a predicted model, not a curated record. NCBI's taxonomy places the organism in Eukaryota, Metazoa, Arthropoda, Insecta, Lepidoptera, Tortricidae. The transcript has 2 exons.
AUCAACAACUUUAAUUAUUGAAUAUAUACAUGAACAAUAUACAUACAAGAGUUAACAAUCUUCGAUUUAGUCGCUGGUGCUAGCACGCGGGUGACGAAAACUUUGUCUCUAUACACGUAGGGCUUGAUUUAACUUAGCAAGUGUUCUAACAGUGUCUAAUGGCUAACCUCAAAUAGGCGUAUGCUGAGAGGAAUUAAUUCAUAUACAAAUUGGAAAAAAUCGAGGACAUAGGCAGUAAAAAAUGAGACAAUAAAUUUGAAAAUAACCCAUACAGUUUAAAAAUAUGUUUUACAGUCUUUGACUGCCUACGUCCUAUUUAUUCGAUUUAGAUGUAUGCUAGCUUCACUAAAAUCUACAAAGUUCGUAGGAUCAAUUCGUUGAUUACAAAAAUACAUUAAAUUUCUACAUAAUUGAAACAUUAAUUAAAAUUUCUAAAUGAUUUAUCGCAUAAACACGUUUCAGUAACAACAUAACGGUCCGUGACCUAGAGUAAUGCCAAAAUCCGGAUUGCACGAGACGUCAGAUCCUAAACUAUCGAAUAAAGAAUACAGCAACAAAUAUUUGAUAACACAAUGACGCUGCGCCUGUAGCGUUUAUUAUUGUAUGUAUACUCUAUUUCAAAUACGAAGGCCCGAUAGUUGUUGAAACGUAACAAAAUGAUCGCUAAUGUUUGUCUUUUGUUAUCUAAUUAGGAGAAUAGCGAAAGUGAUACCACGCCCAAAAAGGGUCUAGCCAUGUAUCUCUUGUUUUCCUAACCUUAUUGUUAAAGCCUAAUGACUGCCUCAAGUGUUAUCGGGCCUUCGUAUUUGAAAUUGAUUAUACAUGUUGCUCUGAUCGAUCAAAGGUCAAAAUAGACAUACAAAAACAAUUUUAAACCGCCCAUUAUUAACAAAUAAAUUUAAAUAAUCACCAAAUAUAUGUUAGGUACCUACAAACCGAUCUUUGCACAAACAUGAACUAGUCCCAGUGGUUACACAUUAACUCCGUAUGUAAAACUAUCAUACAAACUUAAUUAACACCAACAUGAUAAUAAGGUUAGAAGCGAGCGUAAUAAUAAACUAGGGUUUACAAAACUGGCGUUGAAUAUAAAUAAGUAAAUAAUGGUAUGAAUGGUUUAUAUUAUAU